Molecule: long non-coding RNA, 386 nt
Organism: Symphalangus syndactylus (siamang)
Lineage: Eukaryota; Metazoa; Chordata; Mammalia; Primates; Hylobatidae
Source: RefSeq, a predicted model, not a curated record
CACCGAGUUGCCCAGGGCACCACAGUUAUAGAAGCACUCAUUCUUAGAGUCAAGGGGCAGAAUAAUUCAUGGAGAUAUUAACUUGUAUUUUCUCCUUGCAGGCUCGUCAUUAGCUUCCAGUUAGAAAGAUCCUAUCAUCCUCUUAACCAUCUAUAAGAGCUGGAAUGCCUUGACUUUCCCAAGAGAGGAGACAGGGAGAACAGGAACCUCCAUCACCCUAGGGCUAUUUGGCAAUCUUCCCUCUUCUUCCUUCAACACCCUUUUUGAGGGAUCGUUCAUUCUCUCAAGGCUCAAAAGGCUAAUAAUGAUUGCUGUGGAAAAAUACGUCUUUCCCAAAAGUGCCUGUGGAUUUACAGAUCAUCUUGAAGACAAGCAAAAAUACGUGG